GCAUUUUUAGCUCAGUCUGGAUAGAGCAACAGCCUUCUAAGCUGCUGGACGUAGGUUCAAAUCCUACAAGAUGUA
Molecule: transfer RNA, 75 nt
Filed under: Trieres regia
Lineage: Eukaryota; Bacillariophyta; Thalassiosirophyceae; Eupodiscales; Parodontellaceae
Description: Odontella regia tRNA-Arg
Rfam family: tRNA
About the family: Transfer RNA (tRNA) molecules are approximately 80 nucleotides in length. Their secondary structure includes four short double-helical elements and three loops (D, anti-codon, and T loops).
Source: RNAcentral